UGGUCCAUCCUAAUCCCUGCUGGUCAGUCAAUGAUCUGCCAGGCUUCGCUUGUGGACCAGAGCAUCUUAGAAGCCCUGACAGUGAGCAAAGCCUUUUUUAGGCUUGUGCCAGCAGCACUUCUGAACACAC
This is a small nucleolar RNA of Cricetulus griseus (Chinese hamster), 130 nucleotides long. Lineage: Eukaryota; Metazoa; Chordata; Mammalia; Rodentia; Cricetidae. The record is from Ensembl.